AUCUUAAAAUCCCACUGCUAAGCAAAUUAAUUUAAAUGCUGCUUUAGAUUAGAAAGUCACCUUGUUAUAUUAUGUGUUCAGUGGGUUCUCAUUUAUACUGCUCAUCAUAUUUUCUGCACUAUCUUUUCAACAUUUUCUCUGAAGUCUAUAAUUUACUCUUCUUCACUUUGAACUUGGGCUCUGCAGGGGUCUGCAUCUUGGACUUCUAUAUGUUGGUUAACUUGUAGUACUUCUUGUGUAUUCUAUCCUGUAUGGUCUGACAGCAAAGGAAUCAAACUGGCUUGGGGCUACAACAUCAGCUGCCGUGAUAAUCCUUAAUUGGAACUUGGGAGCUUGCUUGUAUGGUUUUAAGCUUCUGAAAAGUCGAGUCGUCGUACUUUUUGUUGCCGGUACAUCUCGGGUGUUCCUGAUCUGUUUUGGAAUUCAUUACUUGUUUGUUGUUAACCCAUGCUAAUUCAUUUUCUUCCAUAAUCAAGUCUUCUUAUACUUGUGGCAUAUGCAUCCCUUUUAAUAUUAUUUGUUGAAUAGAAACUUCUAAUCUUUUGUUAUCAAAAAAAAAUCUUCUAAUCUUUUACUGCAACAAUUUUGUUUCAGGUACUUUGGACAUUGUAUCAAUUAUGCAGUUGUAGCAUCUGUGUUGUUGGGUGCUGCUGUUUCACGGCAUUUAUCAGUUACAGACCCAUUAGCAGCUAGACGAGAUGCCUUGCAGAGCACAGUUAUCUGCCUUAGAGAAGGUUUCCAUAGAAAAGACCAAAAUAGCUCCGCAAGCUCUUCUGAGGGGUGUGGCUCAAGUGUUAAACGCAGUAGUAGUGCUGAUGCUGGUCAUCUUGGUAAUGCAAUUGUGCCUUGCACUGGUGAUGGCAGUACCUGGAAUAACAUUGAGGGGAUUAAUAGUGAUAAGAGCAUAGACAGUGGAAGACCAAGUCUAGCUCUACGUAGUAGUUCCUGUCGUUUAGUUGUUCAAGAGCCUGAAGUAGGAUCAUCAUUUGUUCUAGCAGUGGCCUUGAAAGCCAAGGCGGUGAUUCUAGUACAUCCACUUCUGCAAAUCAACAGAUACUGGACUUGAAUUUGGCACUUGCAUUUCAAGAAAAGUUGAGUGAUCCCAGGAUUACAUCUAUGUUAAAGCGGAAAGGAAGACACACUGAUCGUGAAUUAGCUAAUUUAUUGCAUGAUAAAGGGCUUGAUCCUAAUUUUGCAGUGAUGCUGAAGGAGAAUGGAUUGGACCCAAUGAUUCUAGACUUGUUGCAGAGAAGUAGUUUGGACGCUGAUCGAGAACAUCGCGACAGUAACCCUCUUGUCACUGAUUCAAAUAAUGUUGAGGAUGUGUUACCUAAUCAUAUUUCAUUCUCGGAAGAACUUAGACUCCAAGGAUUAGGAAAGUGGCUUCAACGUUGUACAGUAAUGUUGCAUCAUGUAGCAGGAACUCCAGAGCGAGCAUGGCUUCUUUUCAAUUUAAUCUUCAUUCUUGAAACCGUCGUUGUGGCUAUCUUCCGACCAAAGACAAUAAAAAUUUU
Long non-coding RNA from Capsicum annuum, 1514 nucleotides. RefSeq lists it as uncharacterized. Lineage: Eukaryota; Viridiplantae; Streptophyta; Magnoliopsida; Solanales; Solanaceae. The record is from RefSeq and is a predicted model, not a curated record. The transcript is spliced from 2 exons.